GAUGAACGCUAGCGGCAGGCUUAAUACAUGCAAGUUGAGGGGCAGCAUGAUAUACGCGAGUAUAUUGAUGGCGACCGGCGGACGGGUGAGUAAUAGGUAGGAGACCUACCUCAUACAGGGGGAUAGCAUAGAGAAAUCUGUGGUAAUACCCCAUGAGGUUAUAUGAAUAGAGGCAUAUAAUCAAAGCAUAAGCGAUUAUGCGGUAUGAGAGGGGCCUACUGACCAUUAGCUAGUUGGUGAGGUAAGGGCUCACCAAGGCGAAGAUGGUUAGGGGUUUUGAGAGAGAGACCCCCCACAUUGGAACUGAGAGACGGUCCAGACUCCUACGGGAGGCAGCAGUACGGGAAUAUUGGGCAAUGGGCGAAAGCCUGACCCAGCCAUGCCGCGUGAAGGAAGACGGCCUUAUGGGUUGUAAACUUCUUUACUACGCGAAUAGAGGUUAGUACGAGAUACUAAUAGGAAGGUAGUGUAGUAAAAAGCACCGGCUAACUCCGUAG
Molecule: ribosomal RNA, 497 nt
Filed under: uncultured bacterium
Lineage: Bacteria
Description: bacterial SSU rRNA
Rfam family: Bacterial small subunit ribosomal RNA
Source: RNAcentral